Molecule: long non-coding RNA, 274 nt
Filed under: Gossypium raimondii (Peruvian cotton)
Lineage: Eukaryota; Viridiplantae; Streptophyta; Magnoliopsida; Malvales; Malvaceae
Description: long non-coding RNA (GRAI_LNC004557)
Source: RNAcentral
UAAUAUCAUAUUAAACUCAGACCUGAAUCAUGAAAUACUCUAUUUAUAAACCAAUUUAACAUUGAAUAUUAAUGGAGCAAAAAUACAAUAAAUAUUUUUGAACAAUAAUCAGAUUGGAUUUUAUUUAAAAACAAAAAAAAAUAGUACAAAAAUCUUAAACUCACAGCCCAGAAAGUUAAAAGCCUAAAACAAAAAGCCCAAGUCCUAAUAAAACAAAGCCCAAAUAGGAUAAAACUAAACAAUAAAACCAAUAGAAAAUAAAACAAAACUCAAG